RNAcentral lists this non-coding RNA (46 nucleotides) under Trichobilharzia regenti. The record is from RNAcentral. Lineage: Eukaryota; Metazoa; Platyhelminthes; Trematoda; Strigeidida; Schistosomatidae.
GCACUACUGAAGAGUCCCCUAAUGAGACGAAACAGCUGUCCAGUGC